AUACGGAGGAUCCGAGCGUUAUCCGGAUUUAUUGGGUUUAGAGGGUGCGUAGGUGGUUUGAUAAGUCAGCGGUGAAAGUUUGCAGCUUAACUGUAAAAAUGCCGUUGAAACUGUCGGACUUGAGUGUAAAUGAGGUAGGCGGAAUGCGUGGUGUAGCGGUGAAAUGCAUAGAUAUCACGCAGAACUCCGAUUGCGAAGGCAGCUUACUAAGCUACAACUGACACUGAAGCACGAAAGCGUGGGGAUCAAACAGGAUUAGAUACCCUGGUAGUCCACGCAGUAAACGAUGAUUACUAGCUGUUUGCGAUACACAGUAAGCGGCACAGCGAAAGCGUUAAGUAAUCCACCUGGGGAGUACGCCGGCAACGGUGAAACUCAAAUGAAUUGACGGGG
Molecule: ribosomal RNA, 393 nt
Filed under: uncultured bacterium
Lineage: Bacteria
Description: partial 16S ribosomal RNA
Rfam family: Bacterial small subunit ribosomal RNA
Source: RNAcentral